CAGCCGCCGCGGUAAUACAGAGGAUGCAAGCGUUAUCCGGAAUGAUUGGGCGUAAAGCGUCUGUAGGUGGCUUUUCAAGUCCGCCGUCAAAUCCCAGGGCUCAACCCUGGACAGGCGGUGGAAACUACCAAGCUAGAGUACGGUAGGGGCAGAGGGAAUUUCCGGUGGAGCGGUGAAAUGCGUUGAGAUCGAAAAGAACACCAACGACGAAAGCACUCUGCUGGGUCGACACUGACACUGAGAGACGAAAGCUAGGGGAGCAAAUGGGAUUAGAUACCCCUGUAGUCCCUGUCUCUUAUAC
Molecule: ribosomal RNA, 301 nt
Filed under: uncultured bacterium
Lineage: Bacteria
Description: partial 16S ribosomal RNA
Rfam family: Bacterial small subunit ribosomal RNA
Source: RNAcentral